RNAcentral lists this ribosomal RNA (1118 nucleotides) under uncultured organism. RNAcentral's name for it is "bacterial SSU rRNA". It matches the Rfam family "Bacterial small subunit ribosomal RNA", at positions 271 to 1419 of the family's 1533-position model. The record is from RNAcentral.
AGGCAAAGACGGGUAGGGGGCGUGAGAGCGUGACCCCCACACUGGCACUGGGACACGGGCCAGACUCCUACGGGAGGCAGCAGUGAGGAAUAUUGCGCAAUGAGCGAAAGCUAGACGCAGCAACGCCGCGUGGGUGAUGAAGGCCUUCGGGUCGUAAAACCCUUUUCUGGGGGAAGAGUAAGGACGGUACCCCAGGAAUAAGCCUCGGCUAACUAUGUGCCAGCAGCCGCGGUAAUACAUAGGAGGCAAGCGUUAUCCGGAUUUACUGGGCGUAAAGAGCGUUGAGGCGGCUUCGUAAGUUGGACGUGAAAGCUCCCGGCUUAACUGGGAGAGGCCGUUCAAUACUGCGGGGCUUGAGGACAGCAGAGGGGGGUGGAAUUUCCGGUGUAGUGGUGAAAUGCGUAGAUAUCGGAAGGAACACCAGUGGCGAAGGCGGCCCCCUGGGCUGCUCCUGACGCUGAAGGCGAAAGCUAGGGUAGCGAACGGGAUUAGAAACCCCGGUAGUCCUAGCCGUAAACGAUGGAUACUAGGUGUAGGAGGUUAAAAUUCCUUCUGUGCCGGAGCUAACGCGUUAAGUAUCCCGCCUGGGGAGUACGGUCGCAAGGCUAAAACUCAAAGGAAUUGACGGGGGCCCGCACAAGCAGCGGAGCGUGUGGUUUAAUUCGAUGCAACGCGAGGAACCUUACCAGGGCUUGACAUGUAGGUAGUAGUGAAGCGAAAGCGGAACGAUCCUUCGGGAAGCCUACACAGGUGCUGCAUGGCUGUCGUCAGCUCGUGCCGUGAGGUGUUAGGUUAAGUCCUGUAACGAGCGCAACCCCUGCCGUUAGUUACAAGUGUCUAACGGGACUGCCCGGCAAAACUGGGAGGAAGGUGGGGAUGACGUCAAGUCAGCAUGGCCUUUAUGUCCUGGGCUACACACACGCUACAAUGGCCGGUACAAUGGGUUGCCAAGCCGCGAGGCGGAGCCAAUCCUCUAAAGCCGGUCUCAGUUCGGAUUGUAGGCUGCAACCCGCCUGCAUGAAGUUGGAGUUGCUAGUAACCGCAGGUCAGCCACACUGCGGUGAAUACGUUCCCGGGCAUUGUACACACCGCCCGUCACGUCAUGGAAGCUGGUAACA